AGAUGACAUCAGUGAGCGACGGAGCCUCCCUGAGCCUGUUUCCUGCUCCUGAAUGGGUUGGGGAGCUGGAGAUCCCAAGGGGCCCUGCCACCUUCCCGGCUCUUCUCUGCCUUUUGACAGUCUGCAGGCUCGGCCGGCACCCAGGAGACACCCAAAUGCAGCCCUGCGCUGCCCCCUUGUGGCUGACACGGGCACUGCAGCCAGGAAGGCGCCUUUCUCGCCCAACCUUCCUCCCAGGGGUUGCCAGAAACAAGAAAAGGCAUUUUGCCUGGUGAAUUCAGAGGACCGAGAGCUCGAGGAGAAGCUUCCAGGAGAGCAGGUGCCCAGCUCUGGCAUCUCCUUUCCUGGGUUGCACCUGACGGUGAAGAGCUUGUACAGUGGACUCAGGCUGGGGUCCCCGGGCCCCUGUCCUCGCCGUGUCCCUGGGGCUCCCACGUGCACGGACUGCGGAGUCGGGGAGGGUGCAGGAGUCACCCCCACCCCCAGGAGAGACGGUGGCUUCCUGAGCUAGCAACUGGAGGCCCCGUCCUUAAUUAAAGUAGAAAAAUAGCUCACA
Molecule: long non-coding RNA, 556 nt
Filed under: Dasypus novemcinctus (nine-banded armadillo)
Lineage: Eukaryota; Metazoa; Chordata; Mammalia; Cingulata; Dasypodidae
Description: lncRNA (ENSDNOG00000050406.1)
Source: RNAcentral